Molecule: unclassified non-coding RNA, 279 nt
Filed under: uncultured Hypocreales
Lineage: Eukaryota; Fungi; Ascomycota; Sordariomycetes; Hypocreales
Description: sequence contains 5.8S rRNA gene
Rfam family: 5.8S ribosomal RNA (bases 1-53)
Source: RNAcentral
GAACGCACAUUGCGCCCGCCAGCAUUCUGGCGGGCAUGCCUGUUCGAGCGUCAUUUCAACCCUCGCAGCCCAUCUGGGCAGCGGUGUUGGGGACCGGCACCACCGGCGAAGCCCUUAGGGGCCCAGCCGGCGCCGCCCCCGAAAUACAGUGGCGGUCUCGCUGCAGCCUCCCUUGCGUAGUAGCACACCCCGCACCGGAGCGCAGCGCGGCCACGCCGUAAAACCCCCGACUUUCUGAGUUUGACCUCGAAUCAGGUAGGAAUACCCGCUGAACUUAAG